RNAcentral lists this long non-coding RNA (615 nucleotides) under Physcomitrium patens. RNAcentral's name for it is "long non-coding RNA (PPAT_LNC012084)". The record is from RNAcentral. Lineage: Eukaryota; Viridiplantae; Streptophyta; Bryopsida; Funariales; Funariaceae.
GACUAUGAUAGUCGUAAGCUGGGAUAAGCUUGGUGCUACUUCUUUGUUUUCUUUGCUUUUAUUAUUUUCUUAUAAAGAAUUGUGAUUGAGAGAAGUAUUGUUGAAACUGUGAUUAGAAUAUUGUAGAAUAUGACUUUGGAUUGACUAUUUUGGAGAAAAUCUGUGACCUUGAGAGUUGAGAUUAUUGAAUUGUGUUGUGUUAAGUGAAGAUAUUAAAUUUUGUAUAAUGAAUUGAGAAACUAAAUAUAAUAAGUAAGUUGGAGAUCAGUAAUUGAAUAUAUAUAAAUCACAAAGAGAGUAAGUGGGAGAUGAAUUGAUAAAAAUAUGGAAAUAUUGUUGAAUUGAUAGUUGCUGAAUGGAUUAUGUGUUGAAUUAAGAUAGAAGUAGUAAGCCUUGGUAUUUUGUAGUUUGAUAAUUGAUUUUAGAUAGCUAGAGUACAGUCAAUUGUGACACUAACAUACCUAAUUCAUAUAACUAGUCUUUUUCCAUGUUCGAACCUACUUAUAUUAGUUCAAUUGCUUUGAUAUACUGAAGCUUGAACACAACGAGAACAAUAAUGUCCAAUGUUUUUUAGAAUUUUCUAACUAUUGUCAAAUCUUUAUCAAAGACUUCUUU